This 397-nucleotide ribosomal RNA is filed under the name uncultured bacterium. Its description in RNAcentral is "partial 16S ribosomal RNA". It matches the Rfam family "Bacterial small subunit ribosomal RNA", at positions 523 to 918 of the family's 1533-position model. The record is from RNAcentral.
AUACGUAGGGGGCGAGCGUUGUCCGGAAUGAUUGGGCGUAAAGGGCGCGUAGGCGGCCCGGUAAGUCUGGAGUGAAAGUCCUGUUUUUAAGAUGGGUAUUGCUUUGGAUACUGUCGGGCUUGAGUGCAGGAGAGGAAAGGGGAACUCCCAGUGUAGCGGUGAAAUGCGUAGAUAUUGGGAAGAACACCGGUGGCGAAGGCGCCUUUCUGGACUGUGUCUGACGCUCAGAUGCGAAAGCCAGGGUAGCGAACGGGAUUAGAUACCCCGGUAGUCCUGGCCGUAAACGAUGGGUACUAGGUGUGGGAGGUAUCGACUCCUUCCGUGCCGGAGUUAACGCAAUAAGUACCCCGCCUGGGGAGUACGGCCGCAAGGCUUAAACUCAAAUGAAUUGACGGGG